UGGGGACUGAAAAGUUCCCUCAUUCUUAAAACAUCUUUGAGGGGACAUCUCAGUGGCCUCAGCAGAAAGGAUAGCCGAAGUCACUAGGUGUGUGCUUUUGGGGCAUUCUGGAAGAAUCAUAGAAUUAUCUAAGUUAGAAAAGACCUUCAAGGUCACCAAGUCUAACCAUCAACCCAACCUACUGAGUCCCAUUCCCAAACUAUGUCCCUUAGCACCACAAAAUGGCAGAUAUUAGUACCCAGGUUGUAGAGUGUACCAUCCAUUUUGUUUUAGUCACAUGGCAGGCUCAAGCUAUUCCCUCAUGAGGGGGCAGGCAGCACUGACUGAAAAAUCAUAAAUACUGUGUGGGCAGGGCAGAAGGUAGUUGGGAGCUUUCUGUUAAUAAGCCCCCUCAUGAUUUGAUAGCACUGAAACAUCGGUGGGAGCAGAGGAGCUUGCGUGUGGCUCGUGUGAGCAUUGCUCACGUACUGGGCAAGAUGGCCUAAGCAUGCUAGAGGCCUGCGAUGGCCAAACGCGCCAGGCAGACGGCUGCAAGUCGCAUGGGACUACUCUUCAGCUGCGUUGAAUCGACAGAGCACCUCGAUGUGGCAAGGUGCUCCUGCUCAGCCCCGGGGGAAGAUGCUCCUUCCUCGAACUGGUGGACGAGGAUGCAGUUGGGGUCAAUACAAGCAACUUCAGAGGAAGUCACUGCUUGAUUAUAAGACUACGGCUUUGGACUGCAGAGGACAGAGUGUGCAAGGAAAACGAGCGCUUCUGGGCCAUCCACAAGCAGCGGACGCCCUCUGAAUAUCAUAUGGGGUAUCCACCUGACGGUGUUUGGUCCCUUUACUUUGGAAAUUGAAGCACAUCCCUUUGCCGAAAAGCACUGCAUUGUUUGGAGACCUGUCUGGGACAAGCCACCCGAACACACUUUGUGUCACGCAGAGAGCCUGGGAGCGUGGGUCCAAACCUCCCCGGAGCACGAAGGGGCCGAGAAGAGGACGGAUCGACCGGCAUGCUGCCUGUGCGGCACUACCAGGGGGGGAAAAUUAGCAGGAGGAGAUCAGAGGAAGAUAAGCGAGGAGCGAGCCGCUUCCCCGAGACCUUCCACUGCGGAUCCGCGAGGGAACAUCAGACGCCUUAAAAAAACCAAAACAAACCCAAACACGGCGUUCAAGCCAGCACAAGGCGAGCGAAAGAUCAAAAAGACGCGGAGAGAGAGAAAGAGGCAGAGAGGGAGACAGAUUAACUGGAGCGGCAGCGGCGGCAGCAACAACAACAACAAAAAUCACACUUAAAAUCAUAAUAACAAUAACAACAAUAAUAAACCCCAAACCACCGGCAAGGGAGAUCUUGUUUAAAAAGAGCGAGCGAGGGAGCGAGCAGAAGAGCCGGUCUGACCGAGUGGAUCCGUGCAGCCGCUCCUGGGAUCGCCGGGACCCAGCCGAUCGAGUCCCCGGUGCGGGGCCGCGCCGGGCACCGCCGCAGCAUCCUCGGCGCCGAGCCUCGAAGGAAGCCGGCCCGCCGCUCCGGAGCGGGGCUCGGGGGGCCAGCCUCGCCGCCGGGGGGGCUGCCGGCAUCGGCCCCGCUCCCCGCAGCCCCCGGCUCCGCUCCGGGCCGGCUCGGGAGGGGAGCGGUGCGGUGCGGUGCGGAGCCGAGCCGCCCGGGGACCCGCACCCACGGCCCGCGGCUCGUCGUCUUGCGGGGGCGGAGUGGGCGGGGGGGUACAAGUGGCACUUCUCCCCCCCCCCCCGCCCCCCCCUCCUUCCAGGCUAUAAAUUGGAUUGUAUAUAAAUCUGCUUCGUUUAUCUCCCUGACCCCCCUCCAUGACGCCGGACUAAAGAGCUCCUCUCCGCGGCCCGCCCGGACCUGCCGAAGCGAGCGAUGGACCAGGCGCGGCGCCGCCCGGGGAUGCCCCUCUGAAGCGGCGCGGGGCCCCGGGGCAGCGCGGCGCCGCCUCCCCCAGCUCCCCGGCUCCCCUCGCACCCCCGGCCCGCUCCCCCC
This is a long non-coding RNA of Cygnus olor (mute swan), 1983 nucleotides long. RefSeq lists it as uncharacterized. Lineage: Eukaryota; Metazoa; Chordata; Aves; Anseriformes; Anatidae. The transcript has 3 exons. The record is from RefSeq and is a predicted model, not a curated record.